CGCUGGCAAAGUUCGCGGCCAGAGAAGGGAACACGAAAAGAGGAAACGAGCGGCGAAAAUGGAGGACGACACCGGAGAUGGAAAAAAAGGACGGUCGGAUGAAAGUGGGUCGUGACGUCGUGACAGUGAGGGCGAAGAGCGAGGGUGAAGAGCGAGGGCGAAGAGAACGCAGAGAGAGGCAGAAGGGCGAGCGACUCUAAACGUAGUCGAAGAUUCUUUUUCUAGCGUAACUGCCGGCCAAAAUAGGCGGUCCUUGGAAUCUAAUUAUUAGUACGUUCGCUGGAAACUCUGGAUUAUUUAUGUCCGUUCUUUGUUCGGGCGCGGCGCGUUUCUCUUGGCUCGCGUACCUUCCAGCAACUCUGGAAAGAAGGGAAUUUCGAGUGAGGGAAGAAAAAAGGAGAAGAGGAAGGCGCCGACGUCGAAACGAUGGCGCGCGAUCAAUUGAGCCUUACAGCGUCUCCUGUCGGCGAUGAGUUAAAAACGCAAGCAUCCUGGCUUCGGAAUCGCCAUAAAUGCGACGGAAGAUUGAGAAAUCGUAACACGACGGCGCAGAUAAU
This 557-nucleotide unclassified non-coding RNA is filed under the name Bombus terrestris (buff-tailed bumblebee). RNAcentral's name for it is "misc RNA ENSBTSG00005022465.1". The record is from RNAcentral. Lineage: Eukaryota; Metazoa; Arthropoda; Insecta; Hymenoptera; Apidae.